UUGUUAUGCUGUAUGUAUUGUUACAAAUGAAUUGUUCAGAUCAGAGGGAUUAGAAUUGGUAAAUUGGGUGAGACUGUUGCACAGCUUUGGGAAGUUCUCGGGUUCUGUGCAAAAGCCUCUGAACAAUAGAGGACUCACACAUGUCCUCUACUUGUACAUGCUAAUCUCAUCUAUCACCAGCAACAUCGAGAUAAACAACAGCAAGUAAUAUUAUCUUGUUAUAUAAACUGUGCUAAAAUAAAUGUUCAAUAGUGUAA
Long non-coding RNA from Eurytemora carolleeae, 257 nucleotides. RefSeq lists it as uncharacterized. Lineage: Eukaryota; Metazoa; Arthropoda; Copepoda; Calanoida; Temoridae. The transcript has 2 exons. The record is from RefSeq and is a predicted model, not a curated record.